AUGUGUUGUAAUAAGCAGAUGGUCCCCACACGCCAGGCUGUGGGUGAGAUGGAAACUCUAGCAGGAGACAUCACAGCCGAAGACCUUGCCCGUCUGGACCCAUCAUCUGUCUUGUGCAUCAGAACCAUGGGAAAGAAGUGGAGAGGAGACCUGGGGCUCUGUGCUCGCCCUGGAGGCCCACGUUCACACCUGCUCCCUCCAGGCACCAAGGGCAUAGCUACCGACACGUGCAGGCCUCCCCAAGGUUUCCGUGGAUGGCAGAAGUACACCCUAAGCAAUCCUCUAACUGGUUCAACAACUGAGAUGUGCACCUGUGGAGGAGCCCAGAGCAAUGAAGACAGCCACAGGGAGAUCCCGCGACUCCCGCCGAGCCUGUCCUGGCUGUCGGACUGCGGCCUGAUGGGCUCCGAGUGGCUGACAAUGUGGCCACCACCAUGGCGGACGAGGGUGGGAGGCGCUUUCUGAGAGCAUCUGGCCUGCCACGCAGACACUUGUCACUCCGUGUCAUCUGGACACCCCGCGGUUCUAACCGAGGGUGGUGCUUUGACGGUGAUUAUCUCCAAAACAUAAAUAAUAAGAAUGAUUUUUAAAUCAACAAAGGGCUGGAUUUAAAGGCCACUUAGUUGUCCCAGGACUAAGAGUGAUGGUGAGUGGCCAGUUCCUGGGACGAUCUUCUGUAGCCCGAUUAACUGUGCUGGGAGCCCAAGAGAUAAUGUCUUUUCACAUAGAAAAGAUCCUAUUGAUUUCCUGUUCGUAUUAUCCCGAAAUGUGCAGUGUGUGUCUAUGUGGAGACCGUCUUCCAUCACUUGCUUUAUGGGAAGAGAAUGGUUAUUGUACCUCUCUCCAUAAAAUAUAAUCUCUUUUUCUCUUCCAAAAUCUACUCGCUCCUCUGGGAAUUUCCAGUCAUAAUCUGUGAAAGUGAAUUGAUUUUUUUAUUUUAUUUUUUUUUGCAUGUGCCAGUAUUUUUAUAUUUGGCUUCUCUAUAUUUUCUCAUUGUUCUCUGGAGUCUGGCUUUUUCUAGAUUGUUAUUUGAGCUCAUCUAAAAAUAAAAAAAAAACAUCCGUCGACUUGAAGCA
Molecule: long non-coding RNA, 1076 nt
Filed under: Oryctolagus cuniculus (rabbit)
Lineage: Eukaryota; Metazoa; Chordata; Mammalia; Lagomorpha; Leporidae
Description: lncRNA (ENSOCUG00000038437.1)
Source: RNAcentral